CUCCUACGGGAGGCAGCAGUGAGGAAUAUUGGUCAAUGGGCUUACGCCUGAACCAGCCAAGUCGCGUGAGGGAAGACUGCCCUAUGGGUUGUAAACCUCUUUUGUCAGGGAGCAACGCCGGCUACGUGUAGCCGGACUGAGAGUACCUGAAGAAAAAGCAUCGGCUAACUCCGUGCCAGCAGCCGCGGGAAUACGGAGGAUCCGAGCGUUAUCCGGAAUCAUUGGGUUUAAAGGGUGCGUAGGUUGUUUUAUAAGUUA
RNAcentral lists this ribosomal RNA (258 nucleotides) under uncultured bacterium. Its description in RNAcentral is "partial 16S ribosomal RNA". It matches the Rfam family "Bacterial small subunit ribosomal RNA", at positions 336 to 590 of the family's 1533-position model. The record is from RNAcentral.